GAUGAACGCUGGCGGCGUGCCUAAUACAUGCAAGUCGAGCGAACAGACGAGGAGCUUGCUCCUCUGACGUUAGCGGCGGACGGGUGAGUAACACGUGUAUAACCUACCUAUAAGACUGGGAUAACUUCGGGAAACCGGAGCUAAUACCGGAUAAUAUAUUGAACCGCAUGGUUCAAUAGUGAAAGACGGUUUUGCUGUCACUUCUAGAUGGAUCCGCGCCGCAUUAGCUAGUUGGUAAGGUAACGGCUUACCAAGGCGACGAUGCGUAGCCGACCUGAGGGGGUGAUCGGCCACCCUGGAACUGGGACGCGGUCCAGACUCCUACGGGAGGCAGCAGUAGGGAAUCUUCCGCAAUGGGCGAAAGCAUGACGGAGCAACGCCGCGUGAGAGAUGAAGGUCUUCGGAUCGUAAAACUCUGUUAUUAGUGAAGAACAAAUGUGUAAGUAACUAUGCACGUCUUGACGGUACCUAAUCAGAAAGCCACGGCUAACUACGUG
RNAcentral lists this ribosomal RNA (497 nucleotides) under uncultured bacterium. Its description in RNAcentral is "partial 16S ribosomal RNA". It matches the Rfam family "Bacterial small subunit ribosomal RNA", at positions 28 to 507 of the family's 1533-position model. The record is from RNAcentral.